This 252-nucleotide ribosomal RNA is filed under the name uncultured bacterium. RNAcentral's name for it is "partial 16S ribosomal RNA". It matches the Rfam family "Bacterial small subunit ribosomal RNA", at positions 524 to 776 of the family's 1533-position model. The record is from RNAcentral.
UACGUAGGGUGCGAGCGUUGUCCGGAAUUACUGGGCGUAAAGAGCUCGUAGGUGGUUUGUCGCGUUGUUCGUGAAACUCACAGCUUAACUGUGGGCGUGCGGGCGAUACGGGCAGACUGGAGUACUGCAGGGGAGACUGGAAUUCCUGGUGUAGCGGUGGAAUGCGCAGAUAUCAGGAGGAACACCGGUGGCGAAGGCGGGUCUCUGGGCAGUAACUGACGCUGAGGAGCGAAAGCGUGGGGAGCGAACAGG